AGCGAACGCUGGCGGCAGGCUUAACACAUGCAAGUCGAGCGGGCAUCCUUGUGGUGUCUGCGGCAGACGGGUGAGUAACGCGUGGGAACGUGCCCUUCGGUUCGGAAUAACCCAGGGAAACUUUAGCUAAUACCGGAUACGUUCGAGAGCAGAAAGGUUUAUCUGCCGAAGGAUCGGCCCGCGUCUGAUUAGCUAGUUGGUGAGGUUACGGCUCACCAAGGCGACGAUCAGUAGCUGGUCGGCGAGGAUGAUCAGCCACGCCGGGAAUGAGACACGGCCCAGACCCGGACGGAGGGGAGGAGUGGGGAAUAUUAGGCGAGGGAGGCAACCCUGAUCAAGCCGUGCGGCGGAAGUGGUGACGGCCUUAGGGUUGUAAAGCUCUUUUCUCCGGGACGAUAGUGACGGUACCGGGGGAAUAAGCCCCGGCUAACUUCGUG
RNAcentral lists this ribosomal RNA (437 nucleotides) under uncultured bacterium. Its description in RNAcentral is "partial 16S ribosomal RNA". It matches the Rfam family "Bacterial small subunit ribosomal RNA", at positions 28 to 507 of the family's 1533-position model. The record is from RNAcentral.